CAUUGGCCCUUCCCACUUGUACCCUCAACUGCCCUUAAAUACCCAACCUCUGGAUCAAUAAAGCAGAGUUGUCUGACUGCAAUGGUCUCCGGAAGUCAUCCCAUCAUCCAGCCAUUCAAACCUUACCCACUGCUUCUGCUCCCUCUGUCCUCUCAGGCUGGUGGCCAAUGAGAGAAGGGGAAGGGAGAGCCACACAGCUCAAGAAAGAAAAAAAGAUACCAACAACGGAAAAGAGUACGGUUGGAGCUGUUUUGUGGUAAUGAGCUAGAAAGGAGGAAUGGUUUUGCCAACUGGAAGAGACACUAAGACUGAGGAUGUCUUGCUGCUGUUUAAAGAGAAAUCUUCUGAACCUAGCAAAGUAAAUAACAGCCCACCCUAGUGAGUCUGACCUCACACUCAAAAUGACAACCCUCGAGCUUCAGACAGCAUCACACCGAUCAGUCUAGAGAACUAUCAGCCUGCCCUUCACAAGCACCGUGAGCCAGCCCUGCAGAAAGAGAAGAGCAAUCGGGAGUUUCAUGUGGAAGGGCUCUUAAAAUCAACAGUCUUUUGAUGAGGCCUUGGAUUCAUUUCUGUGCACUUACGUUUCUACACUGCAUAUAAACAAAUUCGCUAAUUUACACUGUCAUGUUUUAAGAUUGUUAUUACACCUGAGUCAAAGACACUUGGAUCAAAUGUGCUACUUAACAAUUUUUUUUCCAGUUUGUACCAGAUGGCUCAUCUAACCAACGAGCAACUUCAGGAGGGGCGUACUGAACCGCACAGAGAUGAUGUGUCUGAGGGGAAUCCCAAGGCAGGUUCUUUACUGAGUUUCUAGCACGUGCUAAAUAGUAUGUUUAAAUAGGAACACCAUGUUCCAAACCACAGAUCAUCGCUGAGUAUGAGGAGUUCUUGUUGCUGUCAGAGGAGAAUGGAAAGAAGAAAGACCAGGGUGCAUUUCCAUUCAGCCAUUGCCUAGUUAAACUGUUGACACAGGUGCUUCUUCAAAAUCACGAUGGAUGGCUACACUUUUUGAAGUUUUGAAGUUAUCAAAAUAACUAACACUAAUUUACUACCUCCUAUGUGUCAGGCAUUGCAACAAUAACCCUAACAUGUGGGUCUUCAUAGUCUCCAGAAUUUUUAGAGAUAAAAUUAAUAAAGGACAGAUCGCC
Non-coding RNA from Rattus norvegicus (Norway rat), 1151 nucleotides. Lineage: Eukaryota; Metazoa; Chordata; Mammalia; Rodentia; Muridae. The record is from RefSeq and is a predicted model, not a curated record.